AUGGACACCCUUGAUAAAAAUGAAUUGGUGGGACAAUUUGUUCAAUGGGGAGUGGUGGAAGAAAUGGUUGUAAUUGCUGGUGAUGCACUAAUAACUUUUGUUUUCCUUCCCUGUCUAAUUCCUUGCAUGAUCUGGACUAUAACAAAUGCUGUCCAAACCUCCCUUGAACUGAGCUUACAAAAGAAGUUGACUGAUGAAAGAAUUGAAAACCUCCGGGUGAUGAAAAUUGAGAACCCAAUGCGGGCUAAAAGCCCGAUCAAAGUUUUAAAGGGGGGAAUUGUUAUAAGGGAUCUUUUCAUUGAACUUGGGAGGCUAAUUAAAGUUGUUAUUGUUGGAGAGUUAAUUGAUGUUAUGACAAAAGUCAGCUAUGUUUAAUUAUGUUGUAAAGUUGUUAAGGUGAUUGUUAAGAUGAUUGUUAAGGAUUCUGGAGUGUUCGGGGUUGAUACUGGAUUGGGGACAGAAUGGGGGAUUGGUAAGAGAUAUAAGGGGCUUAUGGGGGCCUGGAAUAGAACAUUCAAGAACAUGGUGUCAUCAGCACCACGAGUAAUGAUUGGAAGAAACAUCCACCAAUCAUUCGACACCCUGGGAAAAUGAUUGGACCAGGAUGAACGCGGCUAUGGACCAAUCAGAGCCUAAGAAGGCAACCAAUCCCAGAAAGGAUCCAAAACGGACCAAUCCAAGCCUAAGGAAGGGUAUAAAACAGGGUGUUACGUGUUAGCAGGGGCUUUUUCUGUUUGGGAAUUUGUUUAGGUAUGUUGUUGCUGUCCCCAUGUGGAGCACACAGGACUAACCUGUGUUCUCCUUGGGCUGCAGCUCAGUAUUAAUAAACAGGCCAGGCUUUAAUUACA
RNAcentral lists this long non-coding RNA (848 nucleotides) under Parus major (Great Tit). RNAcentral describes it as "lncRNA (ENSPMJG00000012067.1)". The record is from RNAcentral. Lineage: Eukaryota; Metazoa; Chordata; Aves; Passeriformes; Paridae.